This 253-nucleotide ribosomal RNA is filed under the name uncultured bacterium. RNAcentral describes it as "partial 16S ribosomal RNA". It matches the Rfam family "Bacterial small subunit ribosomal RNA", at positions 524 to 776 of the family's 1533-position model. The record is from RNAcentral.
UACAGAGGCCCCAAGCGUUACUGAGAAUCACUGGGUUUAAAGGGUGCGUAGGCGGUUUGCUAAGACCGAUGUGAAAUCCCCGGGCUUAACCUGGGAACUGCAUUGGUGACUGGCAGGCUAGAGUAUGGCAGAGGGGGGUAGAAUUCCACGUGUAGCAGUGAAAUGCGUAGAGAUGUGGAGGAAUACCGAUGGCGAAGGCAGCCCCCUGGGCCAAUACUGACGCUCAUGCACGAAAGCGUGGGGAGCAAACAGG